Molecule: RNA transcript, 1867 nt
Organism: Camarhynchus parvulus
Lineage: Eukaryota; Metazoa; Chordata; Aves; Passeriformes; Thraupidae
Gene name: acid-sensing ion channel 2-like
Exons: 11
Source: RefSeq, a predicted model, not a curated record
AGCCCGGCCCGCAGGAGGACGAGCGGCAGGAGGAGGAGGAGGAGGGGAGCGCCCAUGGCGCGGGGGCGCCGGGCGCCGGCGCUGCGCACUCGGCUGCACGGGCUGCGCCUCAUGUGCUCGGCGCGGGCGGCGCCGGCGCGCCGGGCGCUCUGGGUGCUCGCCUUCUGCACGGCGCUGGGGCUGCUGCUGGCCUGGUCCUCCGACCGCCUGCUGCACUGGCUCGCCUUCCCCUCGCACACCCGCGUGCGCACCGAGUGGAGCCGCCAGCUGCCCUUCCCCGCCGUCACGCUGUGCAACAACAACCCGCUGCGCUUCCCUCGCCUCUCCAAGGGCGACCUGUACUACGCGGGGCACUGGCUGGGGCUGCUGCUGCCCAACCGCACCGCGCGGCCGCUGCUCACCGAGCUGCUGCGCGCCGACGAGGCGCGGCUGCGCUGGUUCGCCAAACUGGCCGAUUUCCGCCUCUUUCUGCCGCCCCGCCACUACGAGGGCAUCAGCGCCGACUUCAUGGACCGCCUGGGCCACCAGCUGGAGGACAUGCUGCUGUCCUGCAAGUACCGCGGCGAGCUCUGCGGCCCGCACAACUUCUCCGCGGUGUUUACAAAAUAUGGGAAAUGCUACAUGUUUAACUCAGGAGAGGAGGGGCGGCCUCUCCUCACCACGGUGAAGGGGGGGACAGGGAACGGCCUGGAAAUCAUGCUGGACAUCCAGCAGGACGAGUAUCUGCCCAUCUGGGGAGAAACAGAGGAGACAACGUUCGAGGCCGGAGUCAAGGUGCAGAUCCACAGCCAGUCCGAGCCUCCCUUCGUGCAGGAGCUGGGAUUUGGGGUGGCCCCCGGAUUCCAGACCUUCGUGGCCACCCAGGAGCAAAGGCUGGCGUAUCUGCCCCCGCCGUGGGGCGAGUGCCGCUCCCCGGAGCUGGGCCUGGCGUUCUUCCCGGUGUACAGCGUGACAGCAUGCAGGAUCGACUGUGAGACACGCUACAUCGUGGAGAACUGCAACUGCAGGAUGGUGCACAUGCCAGGGGAUGCUCCCUUCUGCACCCCGGAGCAGUACAAGGAAUGCGCGGAGCCCGCGCUCAGUCUCCUGGCAGAGAAGGACAGCAAUUACUGCAUCUGCAGGACCCCCUGUAACCUCACCAGGUACAACAAGGAGCUCUCCAUGGUCAAGAUCCCCAGCAAGACCUCGGCCAAGUACCUGGAGAAGAAGUUCAACAAGUCGGAAAAAUACAUCUCAGAGAACAUUCUUGUGCUGGACAUUUUUUUUGAAGCACUCAACUAUGAGACCAUUGAGCAGAAGAAAGCCUAUGAAGUGGCAGCCUUACUUGGUGACAUUGGUGGCCAGAUGGGGCUGUUCAUCGGGGCCAGCAUCCUCACCAUCCUCGAGCUCUUCGAUUACCUGUACGAGCUGAUCAAGGAGAAGUUAUUGGACCUUCUUGGAAAAGAGGAAGAGGACGGGAGCCAUGAGGAGAACGUGAGCACCUGUGAUCCAGUGCCAAACCACUCGGAGAGCCUGAGCCACACUGUGACCGUGCCCCUGCAGGCCCCGCUGGGGACGCUGGAGGAAAUCGCCUGCUGACCCCUCCGCACCACAGUGCCCAUCCCGAGGAAGGAAAACUGCACAGGGAAAACAGGGACCCAGCUCAGUCCCUGGGUUUCAGUGCCAGAAGGAGCAUCCCAGAAUUCUCCAUUCCCAGCGCCGUAGGCUGAGAGUUUUACAAUAAAGAGAUCCCAAAGUCGGCGCUCUCGGAUUCUUCCCCCGGCCGCGUCCUCUGGGUGAGCUUGGGCUGAAUCCCGAGCUGUGCCCAAGGUGAGCAUCCCUGGAGAGGAGCCACAGGGAUCCCUAUGGAUCAUCCCAGCCCUGCUGU